CCUACGGGGGGCUGCAGUGGGGAAUAUUGCACAAUGGGGGAAACCCUGAUGCAGCGACGCCGCGUGAGUGAAGAAGUAUUUCGGUACGUAAAGCUCUAUCAGCAGGGAAGAAAAGGACGGUACCUGACUAAGAAGCCCCGGCUAACUACGUGCCAGCAGCCGCGGUAAUACGUAGGGGGCAAGCGUUAUCCGGAUUUACUGGGUGUAAAGGGAGCGUAGACGGCAGCGCAAGUGUGGAGUGAAAUCCCAUGGCUUAACCAUGGAACUGCUUUGGAAACUGUGCAGCUAGAGUGCAGGAGAGGUAAGCGGAAUUCCUAGUGUAGCGGUGAAAUGCGUAGAUAUUAGGAGGAACACCAGUGGCGAAGGCGGCUUACUGGACUGUAACUGACGUUGAGGCUCGAAAGCGUGGGGAGCAAACAGGAUUAGAUACCCGAGUAGUC
RNAcentral lists this ribosomal RNA (440 nucleotides) under uncultured bacterium. RNAcentral describes it as "partial 16S ribosomal RNA". It matches the Rfam family "Bacterial small subunit ribosomal RNA", at positions 338 to 795 of the family's 1533-position model. The record is from RNAcentral.